GGUCGACUGGCGGAGAAGAGGAUUCUGGGAACGACUAAUCAGAAUGGACUGGUUUCUCCCUCCACCUGCUUGGAAAAUACUACAGACGAACAAAUGUACGAACGGGAAGAGGAAAAUAGUGGUUACAGUGAUAGUGUAAAGGAUCUGGUCCAGAAAGCUAAAUCAAAUCACCAGGGGGCUCUGACGACAAUGGAUACAGUGCGUAAACAAAUCCAUGGGGAAAGUACAAGUCCUGAACCCAAACGAGAGAGUCGCCUAACCAGCAUCAUUGACCAACUGCUAAGCAACAAGACGAAGGACAUGCACCAAACUGAUGAUGAUAACAAGAGAAAUGAAAAAGACACUGAAAGUUUCUGUGAAAAGCAAUCUAGUGAUCCAGAAUCACAAGAUAAUGAUUCAGAAGGUACGCUCAAUCGGGAGAUAAGAAGCACGAGGUCUGACACAAACCAGUCAGACACAAACUGUGGGGAAAAGAGUUUUGACCACGUAAUCCAAACUACUAGAGCUGACCAACAAUUACGUUGCGCGUCUACCAGCCCAACAAGACGAUCGCCGGGUAACUACGGAUCUCCUUCCACCUGCAGUACUGAAACUCAAAAUAAAGAUUACCAAGGAUCAUCGCCUGGUGCGCAACUAGAAAAUAGCACGAGAAAAACUAGCACAGAGGGGAUUUUCCCUGCAGGCACUGACUACAAGGCACCACCUGGUGGAGGUCAGCAGCAGCAGCUCGGAGCCUCAGCUUUUUCUUGUUCCUCAUCUAUUAUUUCUCUAAACAACGACAUGCCCACAGACAUGUUAUUAACUGCGCGGGACUCCACCACUUUGCCCGUCAAGCCAGAGCGUCUAUCCCCGGAGUUUGAGUCUUCUUCGCCCUCUGUGUCGCCACACUCACCAAACUCCUCUCGAGCUUUUCCCUCAACUCUCGGUCUAGGAUUUGGGCUCCGGGGAGCUUUCCCUCCAUCCUCUCCUGGUCUGGAGCGGUGCACGUCUUCUGGAUUAGCUUGUGGAGCAUCGGCAUUAAAACAGAUGGAAAUGAUGACUAGGAACUACAGUGAUUUCAUGCGCUGCCUUGCUGCAAAGUAUAACAACCAAAACAAUCAAGAAAGUUUUAGUUUUGUUCAACCUAAUGGGAUAGCUCGACCUUUUGAAACUCAUCUGUACAAGAGCGGAAUUCUGGGAAGAACUUCAGAACCGUCAGACAACAACAGUAGAAAAUUAGAAAGCCACCACAAGUUAUCUCCUGUCCUUGGAGAGAACCGUACAGUUCCCUUCAGUUUCGGCGAUUUUUCAUCUUCACAAACGCUUCUAAACCUAGUUCGAACUGCCAGUGCGCAGAGUGCUUCUCAGCUGGAAAACUAUCUUCGAGGGGCAAAUAAGAGACCACUCGAGUCAGAGAAUAAAUCGGAUCCUUUAGAUCUAACGAUGGGGACAACAAAGCGCCCUCGUUUGGAUACCACUGAUACAUUACUGCAUCGUUCUCGACUGUAUUCGCCUAUUUCACAAAACAUUAGUGACAUUAUUGGCUGUAUAAAAACAGAAACAGAAUCGCUGACAAGUAAUCAUAAUGAUCCCGUGUCAAAGGUCAGCGUCCGAAAAACUCCAAGUUGGUCGAACUUACUAGACGAAAGAAUAUCCAAAUCCGAGAAUUCACCUGUUCGGACAUCGCCCAAAUCUUCUGAUAAAGUUCGUUGUCCUUCCUUUUGUACCGACAAAUCUUGUUCAAACAAGUCAAAUGCUAGUGAGGUUGCACUGUGGACUAUUGAUGACGUUGUGAGGUUUGUGACGUCGGUGGAAUCUUGUGCCGAAUAUGCUGACUAUAAUUUAACUUAAUAUAAUGAUAAUGCAGAAAUCCCUAAGAUGUGAGUGUUCAAUGAUAGACCACUACUUGGAGAAUGUGUACUUGCAUGGGGUUACAAAGCCGGGAAGAGAGUCUAAUCGUUGAACUUCAACUGAAGGUAUAUUGUGGAUAUUAGGAUUUUCUACCUAAUGAUUUCUGACUGUCCUUUCUCAGGAUAGAAAUCUAAUGAUCAGUAUACAGACUUGAAGAGUAGUUAUGAUAUUAGAAACCACCAACUAGCUUUCAACUUUAAGAUACGAUAUUCAUUCAGUUUACGGAAUAGUUCCCCUUACUGAUAGCUGCAAUAUACAAAUUGGGGAGAAUACAUUGUCAGCGAGGUGUUUAUUAAAUGUAAGACACAAGUGAUUAUGAUACAGUCUUGAGACUUUCCUUAUGAAGGACACGCACCAAAUGAGUUAGUCUUUUUUUUUUCAGCGUCUGAGUAGAUGAAUUACAAAUUACGUACUCUAAAACCUCUCGUACUCAUUCGGUGUUAGUAAACUCGGAGAUCUCUCCCAUGUUUUAAGGUACGUGUAUGCCCAUAGCUACCGAAUCCAAUUAUAGUUGUCUAGAAUGUGCGUGAUCAUUGAAACAGACUAUACAUCCACCCCCGCCUUUUUUUUCUUGAUAUCUAUGGAAGGCCACCACUGUAUAGUUUGAAUGAGCGACCUACCUCUGUCUGAAACCAGUAGCAGAAAAGCAAGUAAUAUUUUUUUAAGGUGCCUUAGGGCUGCAGAGGUGAAAUCCAACAUACCGUAGUACCUACCUCCGGAAGAGAAAUUAACAAACAUGCUAUUUACUGGCAUGAGUCACUUUAAAAGAGAGAAAAGAGAUGGUCUUCUCAGCCUCUAACCACUGACCCAUGACGCUUGGAAACAUACACAGUUUCGUGCUUUUUGGCACCAGAUCCUGGUUGGAAAUGAAGAGAAACGACCCCACGUUCACGUAAUGAACCUAAACUGGUGAAAUUAUCGGAGUAUGAAGUAAACAUCCAGCGUGAAACUAUAUUCUUUUUUCAAACCACUCCACCUAGCGGCUGAAUAGGGCUAGAUGAUCAGCUGUGUGACAGGGUCUCCGGACUUACGGAAGAGUUAGAACGUUAGAACAAAACUAGAAGGGCAUUAUCCCUGGGUACAUUGGCCUCGCCCUAUAAUUGUAAAGGAAACAGAAUUUCCGAGAACACUCCAUAGAUGGCACCAGCUUACCACUCCUGAAUGAAGAUCAUUUGACAACUUAUUUAGGAAUGAAACUUGGGCCUGCAUUAAAACUACGAUCAAAAUUGGCGAAGAAAAUAGGACAU
This 3137-nucleotide unclassified non-coding RNA is filed under the name Limulus polyphemus (Atlantic horseshoe crab). RNAcentral's name for it is "uncharacterized LOC106464375, transcript variant X2". The record is from RNAcentral. Lineage: Eukaryota; Metazoa; Arthropoda; Merostomata; Xiphosura; Limulidae.